UUAAGUCCCGCAACGAGCGCAACCCUUAUCCUUUGUUGCCAGCGGUUAGGCCGGGAACUCAAAGGAGACUGCCAGUGAUAAACUGGAGGAAGGUGGGGAUGACGUCAAGUCAUCAUGGCCCUUACGACCAGGGCUACACACGUGCUACAAUGGCAUAUACAAAGAGAAGCGACCUCGCGAGAGCAAGCGGACCUCAUAAAGUAUGUCGUAGUCCGGAUUGGAGUCUGCAACUCGACUCCAUGAAGUCGGAAUCGCUAGUAAUCGUAGAUCAGAAUGCUACGGUGAAUACGUUCCCGGGCCUUGUACACCCCGCCCGUCACACCAUGGGAGUGGGUUGCAAAAGAAGUAGGUAGCUUAACCUUCGGGAGGGCGCUUACCAC
Molecule: ribosomal RNA, 380 nt
Filed under: Klebsiella pneumoniae
Lineage: Bacteria; Pseudomonadati; Pseudomonadota; Gammaproteobacteria; Enterobacterales; Enterobacteriaceae
Description: bacterial SSU rRNA
Rfam family: Bacterial small subunit ribosomal RNA
Source: RNAcentral